Molecule: small nucleolar RNA, 74 nt
Filed under: Ricinus communis (castor bean)
Lineage: Eukaryota; Viridiplantae; Streptophyta; Magnoliopsida; Malpighiales; Euphorbiaceae
Description: Small nucleolar RNA Z103
Rfam family: Small nucleolar RNA Z103
About the family: This family consists of several snoRNA Z103 sequences which are members of the C/D class of snoRNA which contain the C (UGAUGA) and D (CUGA) box motifs. This family seems to be found exclusively in plants.
Source: Rfam by way of RNAcentral
AUGAUCGAAGCUGAAUACACCGAGCGAUUUUUCUCUCAUAUAUUUUGGGAGUCCAAGCCAGAUUUCUGAUCUAU